This 107-nucleotide ribosomal RNA is filed under the name Vibrio harveyi. Its description in RNAcentral is "partial 16S ribosomal RNA". It matches the Rfam family "Bacterial small subunit ribosomal RNA", at positions 1436 to 1533 of the family's 1533-position model. Lineage: Bacteria; Pseudomonadati; Pseudomonadota; Gammaproteobacteria; Vibrionales; Vibrionaceae. The record is from RNAcentral.
UAACCUUCGGGAGGACGCUUACCACUUUGUGGUUCAUGACUGGGGUGAAGUCGUAACAAGGUAGCGCUAGGGGAACCUGGCGCUGGAUCACCUCCUUAUACGAUGAU